Molecule: ribosomal RNA, 301 nt
Filed under: uncultured bacterium
Lineage: Bacteria
Description: partial 16S ribosomal RNA
Rfam family: Bacterial small subunit ribosomal RNA
Source: RNAcentral
CAGCAGCCGCGGUAAUACAGAGGGUGCGAGCGUUAAUCGGAUUUACUGGGCGUAAAGCGUGCGUAGGCGGCUAAUUGAGUCGGAUGUGAAAUCCCCGAGCUUAACUUAGGAAUUGCAUUCGAUACUGGGAAGCUAGAGUAUGGGAGAGGAUGGUAGAAUUCCAGGUGUAGCGGUGAAAUGCGUAGAGAUCUGGAGGAAUACCGAUGGCGAAGGCAGCCAUCUGGCCUAAUACUGACGCUGAGGUACGAAAGCAUGGGGAGCAAACAGGAUUAGAUACCCCAGUAGUCCCUGUCUCUUAUAC